Molecule: small nucleolar RNA, 103 nt
Filed under: Penicillium brasilianum
Lineage: Eukaryota; Fungi; Ascomycota; Eurotiomycetes; Eurotiales; Aspergillaceae
Description: A. fumigatus snoRNA Afu_304
Rfam family: A. fumigatus snoRNA Afu_304
Source: Rfam by way of RNAcentral
UUUUAUGAUGAAUAAGCGCUUGCGCGAUAAUCCCAGCUCGUUGAAUCCCUCAUUUUUAUAUCACGUUAGAGGGCAUCUUGAAAUUAAAGUACUGCACUGAAAA